CGGACGGGUGAGUAAUGCCUAGGAAUCUGCCUGGUAGUGGGGGACAACGUUUCGAAAGGAACGCUAAUACCGCAUACGUCCUACGGGAGAAAGCAGGGGACCUUCGGGCCUUGCGCUAUCAGAUGAGCCUAGGUCGGAUUAGCUAGUUGGUGAGGUAAUGGCUCACCAAGGCGACGAUCCGUAACUGGUCUGAGAGGAUGAUCAGUCACACUGGAACUGAGACACGGUCCAGACUCCUACGGGAGGCAGCAGGC
RNAcentral lists this ribosomal RNA (254 nucleotides) under uncultured Pseudomonas sp. RNAcentral describes it as "partial 16S ribosomal RNA". It matches the Rfam family "Bacterial small subunit ribosomal RNA", at positions 99 to 354 of the family's 1533-position model. The record is from RNAcentral. Lineage: Bacteria; Pseudomonadati; Pseudomonadota; Gammaproteobacteria; Pseudomonadales; Pseudomonadaceae.